CUCCGCACUUGCAUUUAAUUAUCUGCCAAGCACAGCUUGUUUACUUUACCAAGAGAACCGAGAGGGACUCUGGGGGAUUUAAGCAGGUCACCGCAGGGAGGAGUACCCAGUUCCGAGAGAGACUAGACACAGCGCGUCCUCCCGGCAGCGCCAACCUGCCACCCACCCCCGACCGCGGCCAGGCGGCCACCAGCACUCCUGUCCCACCAGGUGUUCUCCAGGAUUUACGCAGCCGCCCUUCUAGAACCGCAGGGACUGCCAGGCACAGGUUUCCCCAUCAGCUGAACAAGAAAUAAACAUUCCCGGGCCGUCGAAACCUAGUGGUCCUUAGGCUUUUCGUUCUCGAAAUGGGAUUUACUUUCCACACUCAAGUGCCUGCGUGGAGGAGACAGAUCCGGCGUGGUUUUAUUUCCCUGGACCGUCACAUCCAGUUUAUUCUUCAGCCCCUUCUGAAACCGAGGUUCUGCACACCUCUCAGCUUUCUGACUCCCACCAGGGGUUGCCUCAGGGCUGACACCCUCCAACCCCACGCAGACACACAGACCUGCACACGCAGGUUUGCAGACAAUCAUCGCGCCUGACACGUUUGCACCUCUUUCGGAGCUGGAGGGAAACAGCUGUUCCCGCAUCACUGCAGAAUGGAGAACCAAGCUCCUCCCUCUAACAGAAUGCCUUUGCUUUCUUUGCCUGGGAGGAUGCUUUUAGCUGUGGAAGGAAAAACAGUCGUUGCUGUGUUUUUAUUUUGUUUUUUUUUUGUGUGUGUGUGUUUAUUUGGGGCAGGGUUGGGAGAUGCUUUCUCUGACCCUUGCACUCACUUGGGUCGGAAAUUUGAAUAGUGUAAGAUUUAAAAUCUACAAAACAACCCGUUGAAACCAAAAGGGACAGGAAAUAAGUACAUAUAUGCUUAAAUAAUUCCUUCUAUUAUUGACCUGCCCUUUUUAAAAGUAGCCCUUCCAAAACACGCAUGUUUUGUUUCAUUGGAGUCAAGGAAGAAGGUUAAACUUGAAAGUUGAUUUAUUGCCUGGCUUUGAGACCUUGAACAAGUUAUGGCCUCCUUCUGUUCAAUUUUCUCUUGUAAUGAGAUGAUGCCUCUCUUUCAACUUUUUAGUAUGGAAAAUACUCAACCAUAUACAAAAGUAGAGAGAAUAGAGAAUUCCCUGCAUAUGUCUCCAAACUUCCAACAUUUUCAAUGCAUGGCUAAUCAUGUUUAUUCUCUAUGCCCACCCACUUCCCAAUUUUUAUUACUA
Molossus molossus (Pallas's mastiff bat) is the source of this 1247-nucleotide long non-coding RNA. RefSeq lists it as uncharacterized. The transcript is spliced from 3 exons. The record is from RefSeq and is a predicted model, not a curated record. Lineage: Eukaryota; Metazoa; Chordata; Mammalia; Chiroptera; Molossidae.